AUUUCUUUACCUUAAAGUGUCGACUUCUUCCCCAUAAACAGGAUCGCCAAUUUCUUCCUUCAAGUUUAAGUUCAUAAAGAAAUUUCAAAUAGUAGCUGCAAUACUUUGAUAAUAAAGGUUCGAGUGGCAGUGUAGAAUGAACAAGCAAAGACUUCUAUUUCAUUAAGCGUAUCAGGUGGGCUUACUAACUCAAGAAGUAAAGAUGCAUACUUUAUUAUAUAAAGUUUGAGUGCAUGCAUUUAUUUUCCAAUUAUUGACUUGCCAAUAUUUGAGAUUUGUAUGAUACCAUCUACAUAGAAGAACGAAUUCGGGUCCUGAGCGAGUCAGGAUUUGUGUACACAUAGUUGACAGUUAACCUUUGAGUUAGCUUGUCAUCGUGUUUGAGAAGGAGGCCUACUUCUCAACACUCAGAGUUA
Long non-coding RNA from Salvia miltiorrhiza (redroot sage), 416 nucleotides. RefSeq lists it as uncharacterized. The record is from RefSeq and is a predicted model, not a curated record. Lineage: Eukaryota; Viridiplantae; Streptophyta; Magnoliopsida; Lamiales; Lamiaceae. The transcript has 2 exons.